AGUUCUCAGCGUCUCGUGUGCUUCUUCUUCUUUCUCUUCACACAAAGUCGUAGAAGUUUUCAGACGUGUCACAGCUGGAUGUGAGGAUGGGACCCACUUUCCUCUGUGAGCUGGGCCUAUUCUUUCUCUGUACGCUCCUCUGCAGCGGACACGCUCAAGAUGCUGUGCUAACUGUUAAACCCAGCUCGACCAUUUUCAUCGGAGAGUUUGUUUACUUCAAAUGUGACAUGAAGGAAGGAGAACACACUGACUGGGAAUACAAACUCAACAGAGCCUUUAUCCAGUACAACACAUACAAGAACUACAGAAAACAAAUUAAG
Molecule: long non-coding RNA, 320 nt
Organism: Oreochromis aureus
Lineage: Eukaryota; Metazoa; Chordata; Actinopteri; Cichliformes; Cichlidae
Exons: 3
Source: RefSeq, a predicted model, not a curated record